GAACCAGAUGGCUGCACCAGGCUCCAAUCUUGAUCUGGCAGAGUUUCUACAGCUAGAUGCCCUUCCUAAUGCCAACCACUCCGAGAGUGUAGUGGGUGCUUUUUACGUGCCACCGGCAUGGGGGCCAGUCAGGCAGUACUGGCACCGACCUUGCUCGAAUCGUUUUACACAUGCCACUGGCACAGGUGCCAAUCAGGCGGUUCUG
Long non-coding RNA from Octopus sinensis (East Asian common octopus), 205 nucleotides. RefSeq lists it as uncharacterized. The transcript has 3 exons. NCBI's taxonomy places the organism in Eukaryota, Metazoa, Mollusca, Cephalopoda, Octopoda, Octopodidae. The record is from RefSeq and is a predicted model, not a curated record.